RNAcentral lists this ribosomal RNA (997 nucleotides) under Pinnularia borealis. RNAcentral's name for it is "eukaryotic LSU rRNA". It matches the Rfam family "Eukaryotic large subunit ribosomal RNA", at positions 48 to 1068 of the family's 3401-position model. The record is from RNAcentral. Lineage: Eukaryota; Bacillariophyta; Bacillariophyceae; Sellaphorales; Pinnulariaceae.
AAGCGGAGGAAAAGAAACUAACAAAGAUUGACAGAGUAAGGGCGACUGAAAUGUCAAGAGCUCAGCAUGUGAAUCAGCGCUCGCCUCUGUGUGAGCGCUGAAUUGUGGUCUUGGACUUUUGCGUUCAUUACGGGUUCGACCAUGUUUUUUGGAAUAAAAUAGCACAGAGGGUGAAACUCCCGUGCGUCGGACCUUGCGAAGCAAAUUGUCAACGAGUCGAGUUGUUUGGGAUUGCAGCUCAAAUUGUACGGUGGUAAAUUCCAUCUCAAGCUAAAUACUGGCAGGAAACCGAUAUUGAACAAGUACCGUGAGGGAAAGAUGCAAAGAACUUUGAAAAGAGAGUGAAAGAGUACCUGAAAUUGCUGAAAAGGAAGCGAACGAAGCUAGUGACAGCUGCGUCAUACUUUCCAACUUGCUUGCAAUUUGGACGCUGUGGCCAGCCCAGUUGGGCUUGAUUGCGACGGGUGAAAACAGGCUCUGAAAAGAUUCCAUUUUCAAUCGCCUUUGUUGCACCUGUYGCGUUUGAGCUGAACGAAAUAGAUUUGUUUGCCCCGUCUAGAAACACGGACCAAGGAGUCUAACAUAUGUGCGAGUACUGGGGCAACAAACCUCGGUGCGCAAUGAAAGUGUCAGAGGCUGGAAUGCKUGMGCAUUGCACAGUCCGCCGGCCUCCAUCCCUCGGGAAAAUGGUCUGAGUGUGAGCAUACAUGUUGGGACCCGAAAGAUGGUGAACUAUGCUUGAGUAGGGUGAAGCCAGGGGAAACUUUGGUGAAGGCUCGCAGCGAUUCUGACGUGCAAAUCGAUCGUCAAACUUGAGUAUAGGGGCGAAAGACUAAUCGAACUAUCUAGUAGCUGGUUCCCUCCGAAAUUYCCYUWAGGAUAGCUGCAAUCGAUCCAGCCAGUUUUGUCAGGUAAAGCGUGAAUUUAAAGGCANCNUGUUGGGACCCGAAAGAUGGUGAACUAUGCUUGAGUAGGGUGAAGCCAGGGGAAACUUUUG